GCUCUGUCUCGCGAUUGGAAUGAGAACAAUGUAAAAGCCUUAACGAGGAUCCACUGGAGGGCAAGUCUGGUGCCAGCAGCCGCGGUAAUACCAGCUCCAGUAGCGUAUAUUAAAGUUGUUGCAGUUAAAAAGCUCAUAGUUGAAAUUCUGUACGGAACGACGUCUUCGGAUGAUCGAGCCGUGCAUCCGCCUGAGCAGCAGGUCGGUACUUUGUUGCCGGUUUGUGAUCAGGCACUUUACCUUGAGCAAAUUAGAGUGUUCCAGGCAGGCGUCAGCCUGAAUAGUCCAGCAUGGAAUAAUAGAAGAGGACUGAAAACCACUGUUGGUGUUGUGGUAAUCAGUAAUGAUUAAUAGGGAUAGUUGGGGGCAUUCGUAUUUAAUUGUCAGAGGUGAAGUUCUAUGAUUUAUUAAAGACGAACCUAUGCGAAAGCAUUUGCCAAGGAUGUUUUCAUUAAUCAAGAACGAAAGUUAAGGGAUCAAAGACGAUCAGAUACCGUCGUAGUCUUAACCAUAAACUAUGCCGACUAGAGAUUGGAGGUGCAACUCCAAGACUCCUUCAGCAUCUUACGAGAAAUCAGAGUCUUUGGGUUCUGGGGGGAGUAUGGUCGCAAGACUGAAACUUAAAGGAAUUGACGGAAGGGCACCACCAGGUGUGGAGCCUGCGGCUUAAUUUGACCCAACACGGGGAAACUUACCAGGUCCAGACAUAGCGAGGAUUGACAGACGGACAGCUCUUUCUUGAUUCUAUGGGUGGUGGUGCAUGGCCGUUCUUAGUUGGUGGAGUGAUUUGUCUGGUUAAUUCCGAUAACGAACGAGACCUCAGCCUGCUAAAUAGUCAGAGUCCGAUUGGGCUUGUGACUUCUUAGAGGGACUGUGGGGGCUACUCCACGGAAGUUUGAGGCAAUAACAGGUCUGUGAUGCCCUUAGAUGUCCUGGGCCGCACGCGCGCUACACUGAUGCAGGCAGCAAGCACCGUGGCAGAAAUGUCUCGGAAAACUACAAACUGCAUCGUGCUGGGGAUUGACUCUUGGAAUUCUUGGUCAUAAACGAGGAAUACCUAGUAAACGCAAGUCAUCAGCUUGCAUUGAUUACGUCCCUGCCCUUUGUACACACCGCCCGUCGCUCCUACCGAUUUGAGUGGUGCGGUGAACCCUUCGGACCGGUACGCCGGAAAGUUGAGUAAACCUUACCACUUAGAGGAAGGAGAAGUCGUAACAAGGUA
RNAcentral lists this ribosomal RNA (1222 nucleotides) under metagenome. Its description in RNAcentral is "SSU rRNA". It matches the Rfam family "Eukaryotic small subunit ribosomal RNA", at positions 495 to 1801 of the family's 1831-position model. The record is from RNAcentral.